This 313-nucleotide long non-coding RNA is filed under the name Citrus x clementina. Its description in RNAcentral is "Citrus clementina (C. clementina) long non-coding RNA (CCLE_LNC003597)". Lineage: Eukaryota; Viridiplantae; Streptophyta; Magnoliopsida; Sapindales; Rutaceae. The record is from RNAcentral.
ACAGAAGGUUCUAUUUUGUAAGAAUUUCCUUUGGAAAAGUGGUGCAGCUGACAAAGGCUGAAUACUGGAUUAUCAAUCAAGGCUCAAAUAUAGCACAUAUAUAGUACAAAGAAUAAUAAUCGAAUGUUCUCUUUGAAAACUAUUACAUUGUCAUAAUUGAACCGUUUUCAACUUUUCAUAAUUGUUAAUCCUGAACUUUUCCAUUAUGUACGCACCUGAGAAUUGUCCGCUAACUUAGGAUGUGUUUGAGAAUGACGUUGAGGUUAGAUAAUUAUAAUUUAAAAGUUGCAGCACUAAAAUAUUUAGUAAACAA